ACUUUGGUGUUUACUGAAUUGAUGAUAAAUAAUAAGAUAUGUUUAUGUUUUUAAUUGAUUCAUAUGUUUAGGAAUCGGAUUUAGGGAUCUAGGUCAAGAAAUAUAGAUUUCAAUAAACCCUAGUUCGAUUUCCAGAUUCGUAGCCUCAGAUUCCAGUGCAUGAUUCAUCGCUGAUUUAUUUUCUGAAAAUUAUGAAAUUAAUUGUGCAUGUAGAUGUUUCCGUUAGCUUCGUUUUGACCUAUGGUAUGCGUAAUUUGGAAUUAUAUUGAUCAAGUUAUGAACCGUUUUCUGAAACUGCACGAUUUCUGAGUCAUCUAUGAAUUAUGUGUUAAAUUAGAUUUUAUCUUGUUCCUAUUCAUGCAAUUCCAACUGGAUAUGAUUACAGACUUAUAAAUCUGAUUCUUAGUGAAAUUUCAUGGUGUUUCGUUGAAAGAAUGAUUUAUUUGGUAUUUUUAAAGUUGAAUGCUCUGUUCUGAAAUUCUGCUGAUGUUGCUGACUUGCUGUACUAAAUUAAUUAUUCCUCUUCCAUGGAUACGUAUUUUACUGAACUGUUUUAAUAUGGUAUAAAUCACAUAUAUGUGAACGUUGUGUUAAAAUUUCAUAAGGUUUGUAUGCAUGGUUUAAUAUGUAUGAAUUUUCAAAGUUGAAGUACCAAAGCUGCCAGAUUUUCUAAAAUAAUAUUAGAUUAUCAGGUGUUGCUCACGUUUAUACGAGAUUUAUUUGUCGUGGAUCCAGGUAUACUGAAUAUUAUGUACUUUGAUUGCAUAUUUGGUGAUGAGAUACCAGAGAACAAAUGAAGACUCAAUUUCGGGUGAUAUGUAUUUAUUAAAGAACAUUUAAUUAUGCUAAGCUAAUCUGUACAUUUUAUGGACAAGUUUAAUGUUUAGCAUCUAUUUAUGCCCUUAUUUAUUUGAAAUUUGUCUUAUGCACAUUGAACAACAAGUUUACUGUAUUUUGAUCAAAAUUAGACAUAACAUCAUAUGAGGGUAUGUUAAGUAAAUUUAUUGGUUGGACGAUAUUGAGUUAGUAUUUGGUAAUGUAUUGAUCUCAUUGUUACGAUUUUUGCUAAAUAUACUUAAUUUUUGUCCUCUCUUUUAUUAAUGCAAGGACCGGGUUUUUUUGACAUGCAUAAAUUUGAACAAAUCAACACUCUUACUUCAGAUGGAGCUGACAUAGAAAGUAGUAUUAGCUUACCGGGUGUUGCUCAUGAUUAUAUGAGAUUUAUUUGUCGUGGAUCCAGGUAUACCGAAUGUGACUAGGUUGGUGGUCAAUUGAUGAAGGGAGUCGGGAGGAGCAAGUUCAGCUAUAUUGUGCACUAGGAUCUAGGCAAUGCAUCACAUUAAACACAUGGACUGGACGAGGUAAGUAGCUACUUAUGCAAGAGCCCAGAUACAUUAUUGAAUUAUGAGUGCUACUAAGUGACAAAUGAUUGAAAUUGAUUCUAUCAUAUGAUUUCUUAUUUUCUAUUUGAAUUUUUUCUCCCUUU
Long non-coding RNA from Erythranthe guttata (spotted monkey flower), 1486 nucleotides. RefSeq lists it as uncharacterized. Lineage: Eukaryota; Viridiplantae; Streptophyta; Magnoliopsida; Lamiales; Phrymaceae. The record is from RefSeq and is a predicted model, not a curated record.